AACUGUUUUCGACAAUUUCAGUGCAAAUGUUGUUGUGAAUGGAAGCACUGUUAACUUGUGAUUAUGGGAUACAGCCGGACAGGAGGACUAUAACAGGUUAAGACCCUUGAGUUAUCGUGGGGCAGAUGUUUUUAUACUGGCAUUCUCUCUCAUUAGCAAAGCUAGCUAUGAAAAUGUUUCCAAGAAGUGGAUUCCAGAAUUGAAGCAUUAUGCACCUAGUGUCCCAAUUAUUCUUGUUUAUUAAGUACCAUAUUGUUUAGUUGAUGGAACUUCUGAUAAUAGCAUGAACAAGAAUGAACCUUUUUUCAUUUUUUCCCUUUCCUUUUGAUUUUGACG
This is a long non-coding RNA of Humulus lupulus (European hop), 336 nucleotides long. RefSeq lists it as uncharacterized. The record is from RefSeq and is a predicted model, not a curated record. NCBI's taxonomy places the organism in Eukaryota, Viridiplantae, Streptophyta, Magnoliopsida, Rosales, Cannabaceae. The transcript has 3 exons.